RNAcentral lists this unclassified non-coding RNA (295 nucleotides) under Hevea brasiliensis (rubber tree). Lineage: Eukaryota; Viridiplantae; Streptophyta; Magnoliopsida; Malpighiales; Euphorbiaceae. The record is from RNAcentral.
AGCAGGUUCAAUUUCAAUGGAGCCUGCAAAUGACCGAAAAGAUAUACAAGAGAGAGGAUGAGAGAAGAGUAAAGUUGCUAAUGAAGAGCAACAUCUGCAAAUUUUUUUAGCUUUGGAUGUAUAGAUGCAAUAGGACAAAAACAACACAGAAUGCUUUAACAUGACACGGUCAAAAUACACACAAAUCAGCAUAGUUUCAGUUCAACUUUCUUUUGGAAAUGCAAUGAAUUGAUUUUGAUCAGAACAUAAUUUGCAGAUGGAAACAAAAGGCAAGUGAAUAAAGCAAUAAUACCGU